AUGUGGACGCCACGCCCCUACAGGAAGGAAAGGAGAGAGAGAGUGUGUGUGGAUGGAUGUGUGUUGAGAGAGAGAAUGGAUGUGUGUGUGUUUACGAAUAAACUUGGAGGGGAGGGGGCAACAGGGGUGGGUUUUCGGGCUGAGAAAUGGGAACACUGUGGGGCUGCUGCAAGCAGGACUUGGGCCUUAAACAUUCCAGGAGAGUGUUCUCGGGAGUAGCCCCGGGAAGGACUUUAACAGAGGUUGGGAAUUACAUCUCUGGCACAGUUUUGCAAGCAGAGGGGGAGCUUAGUUAAAGGAGCAAAGAAUGCAAGUGGAAGAUGCCAGCAUCUCGGUCUGGAAAGGAUUUAUUAACUAGUUGAAGAGGGCUGGUGGAUUAAAACACUCAGCACCCUAAGAAGCUUGGGAGAUUCGAUUAUUAUGUUGCGCUUUAGACAGGAGGGCAGGAGAAAGGGCGUUCUUUUCUCGAUUUCUUAGAAGAGUCUCCGGUUACUUUUCUGUGGUGAGAACGGGUUAACACAGAAAUCUGCCUCCUGGGCCAUGCCGCUUCUAAGGCCUGUUUCUUCUCAUGAGCCCCAGCACAAGACAGAUGGGCCAGUUCUCACAGUGGAUAACUUCCCCUGCCUGAGCAAGAGAUGGGAUAGUAUCUGGGAUCUGUCCAUCACCAGACUCUGAGCUUAAUAAGGCAGCUGAAUGAAGGGAGGUAACGGACCCCUGAGAGGGGCACUGAAGUCUGCAGUGGGGG
RNAcentral lists this long non-coding RNA (745 nucleotides) under Homo sapiens (human). RNAcentral's name for it is "non-protein coding lnc-MGAT1-3:9". Lineage: Eukaryota; Metazoa; Chordata; Mammalia; Primates; Hominidae. The record is from RNAcentral.